AACCCCGCUUCCCUUUUUCGCGCCCAUCUCCUCUUCGCGCCCAUCUCCUCUGGUUUUCCCUCAUUCUUUUCGCGCCUAUCUCCUCUGGAUUUCCCUCAAAUUUUUUUUUUUUUCUCCCACGCCUACGCCUCUGCCUCCUCUCUUCUUCUUUUUUUUUUCUUCUUCUUUGUUCUCCCUCAACCCAAGCCGCUCUUCCCUUCCCUCAACCCACGCCGCCAAUUCAUCUCCGCUUCACUACUCCCUCUGACCGAACCAUCAUCACAAACACAGCCUCUGCUCUUCUUCCUCUGAGUGAACCCAUACCGAACCCACUCUUCUCUCCCUGACUAAACCCAAAAGCCCAGUCUUGAAAGUCAUAUUCUCAUCUCAAAACCGAAGAUUCAUGGGAGGGGAUUAGGCUUCCAUUUGGGUCAGACUGAAGCUCCACGGGUCAGGCUUCCAUUUAGGUUUUGUUUUGGGUUAGGGAUUUUGUGGAUCUUGUAUUGCUGCUCAGUUCUUCCCGAUCUGAUCUUAGAGCUAAAAGCUUUACCCAAAUUUCGCACUCCAAAACCACCGCUGACCAGCGCACGGCGCCAUUUUGAGCUUUGGCGGACAAGUCCUCGGCUCAUCUCUAAUUCUCUCUUGUCAGUAUAACCAAAAACACUAGAGCGAUACCAGCAAUCUUGCUUCACUCCUCAGGAUAACAGCAUUGAACGUGAAGCACAGCUGCUGGAUUUCUGCACUGGAUAGCUGCUGCCUGCAGAGUGUGG
Long non-coding RNA from Quercus lobata, 749 nucleotides. RefSeq lists it as uncharacterized. The transcript is spliced from 3 exons. Lineage: Eukaryota; Viridiplantae; Streptophyta; Magnoliopsida; Fagales; Fagaceae. The record is from RefSeq and is a predicted model, not a curated record.